GUGCCAGCAGCCGCGGUAAUACGGAGGGGGCUAGCGUUGUUCGGAAUUACUGGGCGUAAAGCGCACGUAGGCGGCUUAUCAAGUCAGGGGUGAAAUCCCGGAGCUUAACUCCGGAACUGCCUUUGAGACUGAUAGGCUUGAGUUCGGGAGAGGUAAGUGGAAUAACUAGUGUAGAGGUGAAAUUCGUAGAUAUUAGGUGGAACACCAGUGGCGAAGGCGACUUACUGGACCGAUACUGACGCUGAGGUGCGAAAGCGUGGGUAGCAAACAGGAUUAGAUACCCUGGUAGUCCACGCUGUAAACGAUGAGUUCUAGAUGUUGGGGGCCUUAGGCUUCCGGUGUCGCAGCUAACGCGUUAAGCACCCCGCCUGGGGAGUACGGCCGCAAGUUUAAAACUCAAAUGAAUUGACGGGG
This 414-nucleotide ribosomal RNA is filed under the name uncultured prokaryote. RNAcentral describes it as "bacterial SSU rRNA". It matches the Rfam family "Bacterial small subunit ribosomal RNA", at positions 505 to 918 of the family's 1533-position model. The record is from RNAcentral.